Molecule: long non-coding RNA, 777 nt
Organism: Vidua chalybeata
Lineage: Eukaryota; Metazoa; Chordata; Aves; Passeriformes; Viduidae
Exons: 6
Source: RefSeq, a predicted model, not a curated record
CUGCCCUUCGGCAAUAUCAGCUCGUUCCUUCGCCUCCUCCAGCUCGUGCUGCGCCUUGCGGCACCGCGAGAGAUUCAUGUUUGCCUGCUCCUCCUGAGAAUCAGACAGCGUUGGCACAAGUGACGCUGCCGCGCCACCAGUGACGCCUGUGGCCGUGCCACCUGCGCUGGCCUCGCAGGUGCAGCCCUGCAUUGCCAGCACUCUGUGAUUAUAUCCAGUACCAUCCACAGCAUGGCCACUCGGGGGGCAGAACAAUUACCCCGCUCACUUCCAGACUGUAGGAAGUGAAAACGGAGUCAGCCUUGGCAGAUGAACUGAGGUGACCCACGUAGGAGGGUGGAGGAUUUGCAAUACCUGUUGUCUCUUCAGCUCUUCAGUCUGCUGAGUGAAAGUAUGUUUGCCUCGAGUUAACUGAGAAAUCAAGGCCUCCUUCUCCUCCAGUUGCCGAGAGUCCCAGGAGACCUGCCUUGAAGAACACCUAGAACAUAAAAAAGGGUCAAACAGCUUGAGGCUUAUGUGGAUACAUGGCCAUUGACAGCUGAUGCAGGGUAGUACAAGACAGUCAGUAAUAACUGAGGACCUACCGUUGCUUAAAAUCUGCAUAAAGGAUUCUGCUUGGAAACCCCUUCCUGCAAAUUCGGAUGCCUUCCAGAACCCCAUUGCACCGCAGCUGAUGCAUCACCAGGCCAACCCCUCAAAAGGACUUCACAUGCAGAGGGAGCUAUUUGGGAAGUUGGUGUGGAAGCUUAACAGGCCAAUUCCUGCCAGUCCCAUGUC